RNAcentral lists this ribosomal RNA (594 nucleotides) under Rhipicephalus turanicus. RNAcentral describes it as "SSU rRNA". It matches the Rfam family "Eukaryotic small subunit ribosomal RNA", at positions 228 to 819 of the family's 1831-position model. Lineage: Eukaryota; Metazoa; Arthropoda; Arachnida; Ixodida; Ixodidae. The record is from RNAcentral.
GGGUUUCGGCCCGUAUUGUGUGGUGACUCUGGAUAACUUUGUGCUGAUCGCAUGGCCACGAGCCGGCGACGUUUCUUUCAAGUGUCUGCCUUAUCAACUUUCGAUGGUAGGUUACUUGCUUACCAUGGUUGUUACGGGUAACGGAGAAUCAGGGUUCGAUUCCGGAGAGGGAGCCUGAGAAACGGCUACCACAUCCAAGGAAGGCAGCAGGCGCGCAAAUUACCCACUCCCGGCACGGGGAGGUAGUGACGAAAAAUAACAAUACGGGACUCUUUUGAGGCCCCGUAAUUGAAAUGAGUACACUCUAAAUCCUUUAACGAGGAUCAAUUUGAGGGCAAGUCUGGUGCCAGCAGCCGCGGUAAUUCCAGCUCCAAUAGCGUAUACUAAAGCUGCUGCGGUUAAAAAGCUCGUAGUUGGAUCUCAGUUCCAGACGAGUAGUGCAUCUACCCGAUGCGACGGCUCGGACUGAACAUCAUGCCGGUACUUUCUUGGUGCACUUCAUUGUGUGCCUCGAGAUGGCCGGUGCUUUUACUUUGAAAAAAUUAGAGUGCUCAACGCAGGCGAGUCGCCUGAAUAAACUUGCAUGGAAUAAUA